GGAAGCUUAGAGACAGAUUUGUGGUCCAACAACGGUAAGUGUAUGAUCAUGUCUAAUUCUCAUGCAGGACUGAUCCCUGGCUUCACCCUAGCUUGUCUUCUUCCUCCUUGCUUUUAACAUAUGCAUUUUAUUAUAACCAUGUAUUCGUAUAAGCCACUUUAAAUCUCUCCUGAAGCCAAGUGAAAUAACUUUGUAAGUAGGUACUGUUCUAGGUCCUUGCCUAUGGCGUAUUCCCUCUUGAUCUUUGCCAUUGUUAACAUCCCCAUUGCACAGAUGAGGACACUGAAGCGCAGAGAGGUGAAACAAGCAAGCCAGGCUCAGGGCAACGAGUGAAUCAUCUGUGAACACUUCCUGUGAACGUGUGACUAUGAUUAUGGAACACUCUGUUGCAUCAAGAUGGCCAGAGAUUGUCUCAGAGUCCAGGCAGUGGGAGGAGGGGGGAUUUGUUUCCUGGCUGGGUGGUCGUAGGGCAUCAAGGGAUGAGCAGCUUUGGUUGUCUGGGAUUUCAGCAGCUUGAGGGGAGCUGUAGGGCCCCAGAGCUGUCGCUGUGGCUGUGGUGUCAGAAAUGUAAGCAAGGUGCCUCCAUGGAGGUUAGCGAGGGUGCCCCUCUGAAUGCCGGGUGGAAUGCAACCUUUCGCAUGGAGGAGGCCCUCAGCAGCUGACCUCUGUCUUCCCUGUGUAGAGGGAGGGAGGCUGAGGCUGGGGCUGAGCGAGGGGUAAAGUAAGCCACGUGUCUCAUCAGCUAGCCUGCAGCAAGCACAGCCCUCUGGGAGGGCUGGUUCUAUCCUCCUCCUUGGUGUGAAAUCCAUCAAUCUAAUAGGGAUCCUUAUUUUCCCAGCCACCAAGUCACAAUGAGCAAUAAUCUCUUCUUGUUGGUGCAUAUAAAUUUGCUUCAUUCUUUUUUAAA
Molecule: long non-coding RNA, 907 nt
Organism: Homo sapiens (human)
Lineage: Eukaryota; Metazoa; Chordata; Mammalia; Primates; Hominidae
Gene: NTRAS
Product: non-coding transcript regulating alternative splicing
Source: Ensembl